RNAcentral lists this ribosomal RNA (627 nucleotides) under Triticum aestivum (bread wheat). RNAcentral describes it as "partial small subunit ribosomal RNA". The record is from RNAcentral. Lineage: Eukaryota; Viridiplantae; Streptophyta; Magnoliopsida; Poales; Poaceae.
AUGGAGAAGAGAGCAGUAUGUGCUCCCAAACAAAAUGGAGGAUUGGGUAUAAAGGACAUUAGGUGUUUUGGAAGAUCAUUGAGGUUAAGAUGUCUGUCGAACGAGUGGCAGGACGAAGACAAACCAUGGAAAGAGACUCCUGGACCUUGCGACAUGACUGAUAAGCAGAUGUUUGCGGCCUGCGCCACAAUCACUCUUGGUGACAGGUCGGUCGCUCGAUUCUUGACAGAGAAGUGGAUGUUUAGUCAGGCCCCGAAGGAUUUAGCGCCUAGUGCGUUUCGUUUAGCAUGCCAGAAAAACCUAACGGUUAAAGAGGCCUUGGCUGAUGGGAGAUGGAUGAAAGGAUUGUAAGCGUAUGUGUCCACAGAGGAAAUUGAUCAGUCCAUACACCUCUGGGAACUGAUUCAAAAUGUUCAGCUUACGACAGAAAGCAACUGCAUCAGAUGGAACUUAACAUGUGAUGGAUCUUACUCGGUCACUUCAGCUUACAAUUUUUAGUUUCUCACCCGGAUUCCACCACCGAGAUUUGAUCAAAUUUGGCGAGCAAAGGCUGAGCUUGUGGCUGCUCCUGCAGAAUCACAAUUGGACAUCAGACAGACUAAGAUGCAGGGGCUGGCCCCAUGCUGA